RNAcentral lists this transfer-messenger RNA (352 nucleotides) under Deltaproteobacteria bacterium. It matches the Rfam family "transfer-messenger RNA". From Rfam's summary of the family: Bacterial tmRNA, also known as 10Sa RNA or SsrA, is named for its dual tRNA and mRNA-like properties. Its role is to liberate the mRNA from a stalled ribosome. To accomplish this part of the tmRNA is used as a reading frame that ends in a translation stop signal. The record is from RNAcentral. Lineage: Bacteria; Pseudomonadati; Myxococcota; Myxococcia. RNAcentral also lists the same sequence under 1 other name.
GGGGGCGACAUGGUUUCGACGGGUAUCACAAAGCUUAUGUUGCAGUCUGCGGGUCCAGGUCCCCGCGUUAAAAAGGCUUGAAAAAAACAAUUGCCGAAAAUAGCAAUUACGCUCUGGCAGCUUAAUUAGCCAGUGUUCUACCGGCGAGUGCCUGUGCAGUCGAAUAGAGCAUCAUUUUUACAGGACCGCGAUUGCGCGUGCUCGCUGCGCCGUCGUUAAAUUGAUGUGAGCCAGCCUUCUGAACAUCCUGUUUGCCGGAGUUUCUGAAGGUUAAAUUAAAAGACAAACUAUGACUGUAGACGCAUAAGGGGAGUAUACUCGGACGGGGGUUCGAUUCCCCCCGCCUCCACUU